Molecule: ribosomal RNA, 1363 nt
Filed under: human gut metagenome
Description: bacterial LSU rRNA
Rfam family: Bacterial large subunit ribosomal RNA
Source: RNAcentral
UUGGCUUAGAAGCAGCCAUACAUUUAAAGAGUGCGUAAUAGCUCACUAGUCGAGAAAACCUGCGCCGAAAAUGUAACGGGGCUAAAACACGACACCGAAGCUACGGAUUUCCUACAAGGUAGGAAGUGGUAGAGGAGCAUCCUGCAAGGACGAAGCCAAAGUGAGAGCGAUGGUGGACGAAACAGGAGAGAGAAUGCCGGAAUGAGUAGCGAGAUACAUGUGAGAAACAUGUAGGCCGAAUAUCUAAGGAUUCCUGGGUAAAGCUAAUCUUCCCAGGGUUAGUCGGGGCCUAAGGCGAGGACGAAAGUCGUAGUCGAUGGAUAACAGGUUGAUAUUCCUGUACUACACAUAAUCAGAACUGUGGGGACGCAGGAGGAUAGGGAAACCGGGGAAUGGAAAGACCCGGUCAAGCGUAAAGCUGUGGGAGAUAGGCAAAUCCGUCUCCUGUAAGUGAAACGUGAUGAGGACUGAAAAAAAGUAAGGAAGUUUCCGAAUCCACACUGCCGAGAAAAGCCGCUAUUGCGUUAUGUGUACCCGUACCGUAAACCGACACAGGUAGAUGAGGAGAAAAUCCACAGGCCGACGGGAGAAGUGUUGUUAAGGAACUCGGCAAAAUGACCCCGUAACUUCGGGAUAAGGGGAGCCUCGCAAGAGGCCGCAGAAAAGAGGCACAAGCAACUGUUUAGCAAAAACAUAGGUCUAUGCGAAACCGUAAGGUGAAGUAUAUGGGCUGACGCCUGCCCGGUGCUGGAAGGUUAAAAGGAGAGGUCAGCGCAAGCGAAGCUUUGAAUUCAAGCCCCAGUAAACGGCGGCCGUAACUAUAACGGUCCUAAGGUAGCGAAAUUCCUUGUCAGGUAAGUUCUGACCCGCACGAAAGGCGUAAUGAUUUGUGCACUGUCUCGACAACACGCCCGGUGAAAUUGAAGAACCAGUGAAGAUACUGGUUACCCGCAACAGGACGGAAAGACCCCAUGGAGCUUUACUGCAGCCUGAUACUGGGAUUCGAUGAUAUAUGUACAGGAUAGGUGGGAGGCUAAGAAGCGAGAACGCUAGUUUUCGUGGAGCCGCCGGUGGGAUACCACUCUUAUGUCAUUGAAUUUCUAACCUGCAUCCGUAAUCCGGGUGAGGGACAAUGUCAGGCGGGCAGUUUGACUGGGGCGGUCGCCUCCUAAAAGGUAACGGAGGCGCUCGAAGGUCACCUCAGAAUGAUUGGAAACCAUUCAAAGAGUGUAAAGGCAAAAGGUGGCUUGACUGCGAGAGCGACGGCUCGAGCAGGUACGAAAGUAGGACUUAGUGAUCCGGUGGUAAUAAGUGGGAAUGCCAUCGCUCAACGGAUAAAAGCUACCCUGGGGAUAACAGGCUU